RNAcentral lists this ribosomal RNA (1179 nucleotides) under Triticum aestivum (bread wheat). Its description in RNAcentral is "partial small subunit ribosomal RNA". The record is from RNAcentral. Lineage: Eukaryota; Viridiplantae; Streptophyta; Magnoliopsida; Poales; Poaceae.
AUGGGUAUUGAGGUUGUACUCCAAUCUUCCAAAGAGGAGCUGGAUUCUUCCAUUGUCCCUCCAUCUAGCGACAACAUGGAAACGCCGGAUGAUAAGGGUGACCGUUUAACGGAACUUUCGGGCACUAUCAAUGCUGAAAGUUCUUUGGGUGCACAGUCAGACAAUGGCAUCUCAGAACCAUUAGAAGCUGCUGAUGUGAAUGGAGAUAUUGAGCAUGAUGAUUCCUCAGCCACUGGCCACGCUGAACAGAAUGAUGAUGAGCCCGUUGCAGAUGAAGCCUCUCCCAUCAUCAUCGAGAAAGGAGACGUGGUGCAACAUUGUGUUGAAAUUAGUGCACAUGAACAAGAGAAUCAAGAAACGUUUCCAGCGACAGAAACAGCGGCAAGUGAUGGUUACUCAGUCACAUCCAUGGAAGAUGUGCAGCCUAAAAAAGGUGCUCAGUCAGAGCCAGGAGAUGUUAGUGGGUACCCUCCUGAUCUACCCAGCGACAAGAAUUCCACUGGGAAUGGAAAUGUCUAUGAGAAUGCAAAGUGUGUAUUGACAAGCUCGACGAAGAAGAUGAAGAGAAGCGCGUCUGCGACUACAAGGAAGCCCCUACAAGCUACAAACAGAAACAGUCAUCCGGAUGACUGGAAUGCUUCCACUCUCACUAACUCCAAAUCGUCGAAUGGAAAGACUACUACUGUCCCGUCAAGCCCGGUCUUCAGAUGUACUGAACGUGCCGAGAAGCGCAGAGAGUAUUAUUCAAAGUUGGAGGAGAAACAUCAAGCUAUGGAGGAGCAGAGGAUUAAGCUGGAAGCUAGGUUGAAGAGGGAGCAGGAGGAGGCUCUCAGGCUACUCAGGAAAAGCCUGACAUUCAAAGCCACACCCAUCCCAAGCUUCUACCAUGAGGCACCUUCUCCCAAGGCUGAAUACAAGAAGCUGCCCACAACCCGUCCCAAGUCACCGAAGCUGGGGAGGAAGAAGGCCGCCAUGAACACCUCGCACUCAUCGGAGGAGAGCGAGAGCACGAGGCCCUGCUGCCGCGCAAGCCGCGACAGACACGACAGCAACUGCAAAUGCCACAGCAGCAGCAGCAAGCCACGGCAGCAGCAACAUCCCACAGCAAGCUCAUCCAAGAAGCAGCCCAACAAGAACCAUGCCCACAAGCUAUCGGCGCUCAACAUCGCCGUGUGCUAG